Molecule: non-coding RNA, 134 nt
Organism: Triticum aestivum (bread wheat)
Lineage: Eukaryota; Viridiplantae; Streptophyta; Magnoliopsida; Poales; Poaceae
Source: Rfam
AAAUUACUCCCUCCGUCCCAAAUUCUUUUCUUUGAUUUGUCUAGAUACAGAUGUAUCAAGUCACAUUUUAGUAUUAGAUACAUCCGUAUCUAGACAAAUCUAAGACAAGAAAGUUGGGACAGAGGGAGUAGUUG